This 163-nucleotide ribosomal RNA is filed under the name uncultured bacterium. RNAcentral describes it as "partial 16S ribosomal RNA". It matches the Rfam family "Bacterial small subunit ribosomal RNA", at positions 368 to 524 of the family's 1533-position model. The record is from RNAcentral.
AUCAUGGGCGCAGCCUGAUGCAGCCAUGCCGCGUGUAUGAAGAAGGCCUUCGGGUUGUAAAGUACUUUCAGCGGGGAGGAAGGGAGUAAAGUUAAUACCUUUGCUCAUUGACGUUACCCGCAGAAGAAGCACCGGCUAACUCCGUGCCAGCAGCCGCGGUAAU